AUGCUAGAUGUGAGCAACAAUAACCUCACUGAUGUGUUACCACGGCAACUCGGGAAGUUGGAGAUGCUAGAAUUUCUGAAUUUAUCACAUAAUCAGUUCAGUGGGAGCAUCCCAUCAUCCUUUGCAAACAUUGUGAGCCUUUCAACAGUCGAUGUGUCCUACAACGACUUGGAAGGACCAAUCCCAAUAACAAGGCUACUAAAAAAUGCUUCAACAAGUUGGUUUCUUCCAAAUAAAUGUCUAUGUGGUAACCUCUCUAGCAUGCCACCUUGUUAUUCAACCCCAGUAGCUGCUCACAAAAAGGGGAAGUUACUUGGUUUGAUUUUGCCAAUUGUUCUUGUGAUGGCUGUCAGCAUUGUUGCGACAACUGUUGUCAUAAUAAUACUUACUCGUAUGAAGAGAAAACCACAAGAAAGUGUUACCACUAAAGCAAGGGGUGUAUUCUCCGUUCGGAAUUUUGAUGGAAGAUUAGCAUUUGAUGAUAUUGUAAGGGCAACAGAAGACUUUGAUGAUAAGUACAUCAUUGGAAUAGGAGGAUACGACAAAGUCUACAAGGCACAACUCCAAGACGGGCAGCUAGUUGCUAUCAAGAGGCUUCAUCAGGUCGAAGAAGAGUUGGAAGAUGAAAGAAGAUUCCAUAGUGAAAUGGAAAUCUUAACACAAAUCCGACAACGAAGCAUUGUCAAAAUGUAUUGA
RNAcentral lists this ribosomal RNA (696 nucleotides) under Triticum aestivum (bread wheat). RNAcentral's name for it is "partial small subunit ribosomal RNA". The record is from RNAcentral. Lineage: Eukaryota; Viridiplantae; Streptophyta; Magnoliopsida; Poales; Poaceae.